GGCGGGGUAGCUCAGUUGGUCAGAGCAGCGGAAUCAUAAUCCGUUUGUCGGGGGUUCAAAUCCCUCCCCCGCUACCA
Molecule: transfer RNA, 77 nt
Filed under: Pseudomonadota bacterium
Lineage: Bacteria; Pseudomonadati; Pseudomonadota
Also listed under: 1 other name
Description: tRNA-Met
Rfam family: tRNA
About the family: Transfer RNA (tRNA) molecules are approximately 80 nucleotides in length. Their secondary structure includes four short double-helical elements and three loops (D, anti-codon, and T loops). Further hydrogen bonds mediate the characteristic L-shaped molecular structure. tRNAs have two regions of fundamental functional importance: the anti-codon, which is responsible for specific mRNA codon recognition, and the 3' end, to which the tRNAs corresponding amino acid is attached (by aminoacyl-tRNA synthetases). tRNAs cope with the degeneracy of the genetic code in two manners: having more than one tRNA (with a specific anti-codon) for a particular amino acid; and 'wobble' base-pairing, i.e. permitting non-standard base-pairing at the 3rd anti-codon position.
Source: RNAcentral